GAUGAACGCUGGCGGCGUGCCUAAUACAUGCAAGUCGAGCGAACAGAUGAGGAGCUUGCUCCUCUGACGUUAGCGGCGGACGGGUGAGUAACACGUGGAUAACCUACCUAUAAGACUGGGAUAACUUCGGGAAACCGGAGCUAAUACCGGAUAAUAUAUUGAACCGCAUGGUUCAAUAGUGAAAGACGGUUUUGCUGUCACUUAUAGAUGGAUCCGCGCCGCAUUUGCUAGUUGGUAAGGUAACGGCUUACCAAGGCAACGAUGCGUAGCCGACCUGAGAGGGUGAUCGGCCACACUGGAACUGAGACACGGUCCAGACUCCUACGGGAGGCAGCAGUAGGGAAUCUUCCGCAAUGGGCGAAAGCUUGACGGAGCAACGCCGCGUGAGCGAUGAAGGUCUUCGGAUCGUAAAACUCUGUUAUUAGGGAAGAACAAAUGUGUAAGUAACUAUGCACGUCUUGACGGUACCUAAUCAGAAAGCCACGGCUAACUACGUG
This 497-nucleotide ribosomal RNA is filed under the name uncultured bacterium. RNAcentral's name for it is "partial 16S ribosomal RNA". It matches the Rfam family "Bacterial small subunit ribosomal RNA", at positions 28 to 507 of the family's 1533-position model. The record is from RNAcentral.